Long non-coding RNA from Pseudoliparis swirei, 1154 nucleotides. RefSeq lists it as uncharacterized. The record is from RefSeq and is a predicted model, not a curated record. The transcript is spliced from 2 exons. Lineage: Eukaryota; Metazoa; Chordata; Actinopteri; Perciformes; Liparidae.
AACUUCUAUCAUAAUAUUUAUAAGCCCUUUUUUUACACUUUCAGAAUCUGUUUUAAUAAAACAAUUGAAUCGUUAUUUUCUUUCAGACCUAUGCCUAGAACCACAUUGCAAACACCUGCUGAUGCUGCAUCUAAAAUUAAUCUUAGUUGCCAGUUUUCAGAUCACGUGUCUUUCUCUGCUGCAGAGCCCCAGGACAAGCUGGCUGUGUCUACUACCGCGCACUUGAGCACUUCGAGCACUGACUUUCAGUGUUCGAAGUGCGCCACUGAAAAAACCAGCAGAAUUCAGUGCACUGAAAGUACCCGGAUGGUGCACUGCAAACGGGCAAAAAAUGUAGUGUAAAACGAUGGACACUACUCGCCCUAAACGGCCGCCAUCUUGGCCACGUAGCGGAAGAGGAGGAGCCCUUUCGCCAGCUUUUCAUUUUAUUUCUAAAACAAUGGCGGACAGUACAAGCGGUAGACCACGAAGCUACAGACCGUAAAUAGACGUUUCCUGGAGGUGCUGGUCCUCUGCUGCCCUCCCGACAUCUGCAUCUGGCUCCAAUGACCUCUGGCACCUCACAUCCACCUCCAGGGCCUUUAAGAAGAUGGACCGCCAUCGCGUCUUCAGUAUCCCGAAGGACCUCUCCACAACACACCUCGCCUUUGACAGGCAGCAGUUGUAGCGUGCUUGGAGGUGGACAGGCUGCCUGAAGGGGGUCAUGAGGCAGAUGGGUUGGGACAGGCAGGGAUAGCCACCAUCCCCAAGGAUACAGUAUCCUGGUGGAGGGGAUGACUGCUCAUAGAAGAUGGGGCUGUUAUUCAGGACCCUGGCAUCAUGCACUGAGCCCGGGGCCUGUCGAAGGCCCUGGCCACCACCCGAUAGGAGGUGGCGCUGGCAAGCCAAAAAAUAAAAACUAGACAGGAGAUCUCGGGGCCCCAACCGUGGUCAGUCAGUGCCCAGCACAGCCAUGAGGGCGUUGAAUGACUCUCGGUGAGCCUGAAGUCCACCCUCAUGUCACUGUGGCCAUCAAAAUACAACGCCAGCAGUGGCAUUGCAACAUUGAUACGGCAGCGCCGCCUGGGACUGGGUGGCUGCUGUAGAGUGUGUGGGGAGGGGAGGGGAAGAUUAUAUUAAUAUGUAAGUCAUUUUAUCAAUAAAAUGUUGUCAUU